This 1779-nucleotide long non-coding RNA is filed under the name Canis lupus familiaris (dog). RNAcentral describes it as "lncRNA (ENSCAFG00000057057.1)". Lineage: Eukaryota; Metazoa; Chordata; Mammalia; Carnivora; Canidae. The record is from RNAcentral.
GCAGAGAAUACUCUGUGGUUGUUUCUUUUUCCUAGUUAGGCCCAUUUUAUUUGUGCUGUUUUGUUUUGUUUUGUUUUUACUCUUGCACUACAGUCUAGAGAUCCAAAUGAACUGCAAAGUUGACAGUUUAACAGACAUUUAAAAACAUAUAUUUUUAGUUGUCAUUCUAAUCUUAUUGAUUAGAAGCAUGACUCCUGAAGGAAAGGGAAAUAAAGCCCAAUUCAUACUAAUUUCUAGCAAAACACUCACCAUAUAAAUAGACAUAUGUUUUAUUUUUAACCCAGCAAAAUACUGUAUAAGUAUGUCCUUUACUGUCAAUUUAUCUAGAAGAUCUAUAAUAUAUAGACUAUAUAUAUAAUAUAUAUAUAUAUACAACAUAGCCAAAUGUAUAAAAACUUGACAAUGUAUAAUUUGGAAUUCACAUGCUAACUACAUAGAGAAGUAUAAAAUUGAAUGAUAAUUUUUCUAAGAUUUUUCUUUUUCAUCUCUGUUGACACAGUUUCAAACAUUCUAUCAUGUUGCUCCUACUUUUUUCUUUUCUUUCCUUUUUUAAAAAUUCAUUUUUAACCAGACUAGACCCCACUGUAAUAUCACCUGAGAGAGUCAGGGUGAAGUUUUUGCAUUUAUAAAGAUACGUUCCUGUAAGGGCGAUUAUAAUGAAAGCAAGAGUGCAGGAAUCAACUAUUGAAAGACACUUUAGGGGAGACUGGAGUGUAUUCUAGCUUGUGGAGAGACAGAAGGCUACAGAUUGGAUGCAACAUUCUUGUUUUCUUGGAGAAACUCACAUACACAUAGCUGACUUGACUAGUACUUCAGAUCUCAGACUGCUCUUCCACAGCCUUCUGUAAGGUUCUUUAUUCUGCAAAAGAAAAAAAAACAACAAAAACAAAAAAAAAACACAAAAAAAUUUAAAAACAUUAAAAAACAAAAAAAAACAAAAAAAUUUAAAAAGCAAAACAAAAAAAAAACAGAAAACAACAAACAACAAAAAGAAUUCAACCACAAAAUAGUGACUGUUAUUUCAGUGUGUCCUUCAUGUGAAAGCUCUUAAGGACCAAACCUACUACUGUGUGUAAGAAGAAAUUACUUCCUAAACAGUAACUGAAAAUAGUUAGUUAAACUUGCUGUGGAUUUUGUCUUGGCAGUUGUCAUCUUACAUUAUUUGUCAAAGGAAAUGUGUUUGGCAGUUAAAAAUCUUUCCUUAGAUUUAGUGGUGGACUUUAACCUCUUAAAUAAAUGUUAGUAUAUCAGAUUGUGUCCUUGAAAAAUAUUUUACUUGUAUGAAUCAUGACAAUGUCUAGAUCUUUACUAUUCUUCUGGCAAAAGCAUCAGUAAGAAAGAAGGUGAAAAAGAGAAGUAUAGCCUUUACGUCAGAAAAAUAUUCUUUUUAGCUGCUUACUUUCUCAUGAAAAGUAAAGAUGUUUACAGUGUAUGCCAAGAUUUUCAGUUUCUAUAUAACAACAGUUAGAGGUUCUAAUCAUACUGAAAAUUGUGUUAUAAUGGCCUGAGCCAUGUUGCUAGGAAACAAUAGGUUCCAAUUUUGUAUUCCUGCUCUCACUCCUGUGCUGAAAAGUGACUGGAUACUGUACAGGUUCAUGUUCUCUGGCUGCAGUUAAAUGGUCUUUUGCAUUUUGCUCUGGCUUUCAGGCCAGAAGCAUGCAUUUUUCUACAAGAGCAUCACAACAACAUGCUGUAAAUAUUUAAAGUUAAACAUUAUGUGUCGAUAUUUGAAAGAAAAAAGUACUUUGAAUAUUUCAUUUUUAAAAAAUAAAAUUGCAA